GCUGGCUCCUAGAUUCCAAACACAUUUCUCAAACCCUGGUAUAACACUAUAGUGUAGUGUUCCUACAGAGACUAACUAGUCUCUUUCACAACACAUGAAUGGACAUUAAUACCAGAAUCAAUAUUUUUCAGUGGUUAAAUUAAAAGAAGAAAAAAAAAAACACCUAAAGUCUAACAAAGAUUAAAGAAAAUUAAAUGAAAUAUACCUGAAAUGUGUUUAAUGUUUCUAGUUCAUCCAUUACACAGUGCUUUCUAAUCACCAUACCAAUCAGAACAAAGCGCUGGAUCAUUGCAGAAGUCAUGUUUAGACAUGAAUUUCUAUUCACUGGGCAGCUUUGUGUUUAGACAUGGAUACCUAUAAAUGUGUCAGUGACGUUCAUGUCAAAAUCAUUUUCUCACAUAAAGUUAAUCACUAAAAGUAUGAAAUCCUCAGAUAAGAUUUGGAAAUCAUCACGAACCAAGCACUUAAUAU
This is a non-coding RNA of Pelobates cultripes (western spadefoot toad), 471 nucleotides long. The record is from the annotation of a GenBank genome assembly. NCBI's taxonomy places the organism in Eukaryota, Metazoa, Chordata, Amphibia, Anura, Pelobatidae.